Long non-coding RNA from Camellia sinensis, 398 nucleotides. RefSeq lists it as uncharacterized. The record is from RefSeq and is a predicted model, not a curated record. NCBI's taxonomy places the organism in Eukaryota, Viridiplantae, Streptophyta, Magnoliopsida, Ericales, Theaceae.
GAGAGAGAGAGAGAGAGAGAGAGAACCCCAUUGUAGGGAGAGAGUGAAGCUCAAAACUUACAUGGAAAAUGAAGAAGACUUGAAGGAGUUAAGGGAAAUCAUCUCUAAUUUUGAGAUUUAAGCUUGAGGUGAGCAACAUGAUGCCCAACCCCAACUGUAACGAACCCAAGAAAGAAUGUUAAGUUUGUGGAGUUAACCAUGACACGCCUCACGAACGAGGCCUUAGUUUUAGAACUUUCAUUUUGACCCUUUUGUCAUCUUUUGAUGGUCAUGUUUGACCUUAUCUGUAUAUAAGCUAUGGUUUUGUAUAAAUAUGUUGUUGCAUAGACCUAGACAUAGAAUGUCUUUGAUGUGGGUAUGUUUGGUGUGAGUUGUUAAUAUACGAAAUGUUUUGUUCA